RNAcentral lists this long non-coding RNA (903 nucleotides) under Nicotiana benthamiana. RNAcentral describes it as "long non-coding RNA (NBEN_LNC021081)". The record is from RNAcentral. Lineage: Eukaryota; Viridiplantae; Streptophyta; Magnoliopsida; Solanales; Solanaceae.
AUAUAUAUAUAUAUAUAUAUAUAUAUAUAUAUAUAGCCUCCUAUUUCCAACACUCUUUGCCUGAACAAAGUUUAAGAGUCAUGAGAGGGCCGUGGAUUUUGGCAAGCUCGGCUAGUGAUUGGUUGGGUCUUGAGCCUAGCUCUAGUAGUGAACCGAUUAUGGGGAGAUCAGGGGGACCAGGUGGUAGAUUUCUGGAUUUAGAAUGGAUAUAAGAUUUGAGGAAGAACCAGCAGACAAGUGAGAUGCAGGAGAGAAGAAUAUUAUGAAGUUCCAUUUUUGUAUCUUGAGGAGAGAUGCAAAGAUAUAUAACUCCUUAUAUAAACUUACUAAAAUCAGCUCCAUCUUAUGAAAAUGGAGCAUGGAAAAUGCUACUAGCUAGUAUUACAAUUUUAUAUUGUAACUCUUUUUACCAUUUUUCUGUUUUACUUAUUAUUUUUCAUAACAUUGUACUUUUUCUUUUAAUCAUGUGUGUUUUCAGUCUAACAAAUCCUGAAAACAGACAAUUAAAACGACAUACCUUGUACAUUUCCAUGACACUCGUGUAUGACAUACCUCUGUGAGUUUGUGUAUUUUUCUGGCUUCCAAAAGAAAUAUUGUGAUUGGUAAAAUACCAAUCCUGGAUUUGGCAAUUUUUCUGUGUCUUCACUAGGGAAUUCCGUGAUUCUACUUCUACCUGCCCCCCGCAAGUAGGCUGAGUGGUUUUAAAAUGUGACAAUAUUUUUUCUUGUUCUCUCCUCUAUUAUACUCAAAUUUUGGUUUAAGCUGACAUAAACUCAGGCAAUAAUUACAUUCUAUAUUCCGCAUAAGAAAAAAUAUUGCCAAUACAUUCUACUAGCUGGUAUUACUUCUUUUAGUCCUUUUGAUUUACUAUGGUGGGCUUGAGGACAGGUAUAGGUAGAGGUA